UGUCAGUGAAAUGGUCCCUAACCUGC
RNAcentral lists this non-coding RNA (26 nucleotides) under Rattus norvegicus (Norway rat). The record is from RNAcentral. Lineage: Eukaryota; Metazoa; Chordata; Mammalia; Rodentia; Muridae.